AAUCAACGCUGGCGGCGUGCCUAACACAUGCAAGUCGAACGAGAAAGUGGAGCAAUCCAUGAGUAAAGUGGCGCACGGGUGAGUAACACGUGACUAACCUACCCUUGAGUGGGGGAUAACCUCGGGAAACCGGGGCUAAUACCGCAUAAUAUCGAGAGAUCAAAGGAGCAAUUCGCUUAAGGAGGGGGUCGCGGCUGAUUAGCUAGUUGGUGAGGUAAUGGCUCACCAAGGCUANGAUCAGUAUCCGGCCUGAGAGGGCGCACGGACACACUGGAACUGAAACACGGUCCAGACUCCUACGGGAGGCAGCAGUGGGGAAUUUUGCGCAAUGGGGGAAACCCCUGACGCAGCAACGCCGCGUGGA
RNAcentral lists this ribosomal RNA (364 nucleotides) under uncultured bacterium. RNAcentral describes it as "bacterial SSU rRNA". It matches the Rfam family "Bacterial small subunit ribosomal RNA", at positions 32 to 405 of the family's 1533-position model. The record is from RNAcentral.